AAGACUAUACUUUCAGGGAUCAUUUCUAUAGUUCUUAACUAGGAAAUGUGUUUCUUAAGUGAUGAGUCUCCCAAACCACGAUGAUGAUUCUUGAUACUCUUUUCAGAGUAUGAAUCAGAUGUAGAGAGAUGAUUUGAUUCAUAUGCUCUGUAUCAUUGAUGAAUGUUCUUUGUUGCAUCUUACAACAUAGGAGGAAAAGAGUACAAAUUGAGUGGU
Small nucleolar RNA from Danio rerio (zebrafish), 216 nucleotides. Its record names the gene U3. It matches the Rfam family "Small nucleolar RNA U3". Rfam says of the family: Small nucleolar RNAs (snoRNAs) are involved in the processing and modification of rRNA in the nucleolus. There are two main classes of snoRNAs: the box C/D class, and the box H/ACA class. The record is from Ensembl. Lineage: Eukaryota; Metazoa; Chordata; Actinopteri; Cypriniformes; Danionidae.